GACGAACGUUGGCGGCGUGCUUAACACAUGCAAGUCGAACGGUGACGGAGAGCUUGCUCUCCUGAUCAGUGGCGAACGGGUGAGUAACACGUGGGCAACCUGCCCAGACUUCGGGAUAACGCUUCGAAAGAGGUGCUAAUACCGGAUACGAACUCCUUGGGCAUCCUUGGAGUUGGAAAGUUUUUCGGUCUGGGAUGGGCCCGCGGCCUAUCAGCUUGUUGGUGAGGUAACGGCUCACCAAGGCGACGACGGGUAGCCGGCCUGAGAGGGCGACCGGCCACACUGGGACUGAGACACGGCCCAGACUCCUACGGGAGGCAGCAGUGGGGAAUAUUGCGCAAUGGGCGAAAGCCUGACGCAGCAACGCCGCGUGAGGGAUGACGGCC
This 386-nucleotide ribosomal RNA is filed under the name uncultured bacterium. RNAcentral describes it as "bacterial SSU rRNA". It matches the Rfam family "Bacterial small subunit ribosomal RNA", at positions 28 to 416 of the family's 1533-position model. The record is from RNAcentral.